UACGUAACAUGAUGGAAGAGUUGGGCC
Molecule: non-coding RNA, 27 nt
Filed under: Bombyx mori (domestic silkworm)
Lineage: Eukaryota; Metazoa; Arthropoda; Insecta; Lepidoptera; Bombycidae
Source: RNAcentral